RNAcentral lists this ribosomal RNA (2435 nucleotides) under Jaagichlorella roystonensis. Its description in RNAcentral is "small subunit ribosomal RNA". The stretch from base 104 to 1872 matches the Rfam family "Bacterial small subunit ribosomal RNA". The record is from RNAcentral. Lineage: Eukaryota; Viridiplantae; Chlorophyta; Trebouxiophyceae; Watanabeales; Watanabeaceae.
GAUGCAUCACUUUUCCGCAGGCAUCAAUCUUAGCUCCGCCAUAAAACAUCAUCCUGAAAAGAUAAUCGAUGGUUAAUGUUAAAAUACAAGUAAAAAAAAAACAAGAGUUUGAUUCUGGCUCAGAAUGAACGCUGGCAACAGGCUUAACACAUGCAAGUGGUACGUUUUGACUCUUAAUGGGUUAAAAAGUCGCAAACGGGUGAGUAACACGUGAGAAUCUACCAACAAGCUCGGCAUACUGUUGUUUCUUUUUUACUAUUUAGAUUAAAUAGUAAAAAAAAGAAUACACAAAUACCGAAUAAAAAAAGGCUAUAGCCGCUAGUUGAUGAGCUCGCGCAAGAUUAGGUAGUUGGUGAGGUAACAGCUCACAAAGCCAAAGAUCUUUAGCCGAUUUGAGAGGAUGAUCGGCCACACUGGGACUGAGACACGGCCCAGACACUUUUAAGUGGCAGCAGUGGGGAAUUUUGGACAAUGAACGCAAGUUUGAUCCAGCCAUGUUGCAUGAGGGAAGAAGGCUCUUUUGGUCGUAAACCUUUAUUUUAGAAAAGGAUAAUGACGUAUUUCUAAAGAUUAGUCCCGGCUAAUUCUGUGCCAGCAGCCGCGGUAAUACAGAAGGGGCGAGCGUUAUUCGGAAUUACUGGGCGUAAAGAGCAUGUAGGUUGCUUAUAAUCUUCGAUUUUUUGUUAAAAAAAAACAAACGUUAAAGCCCUGAGUCUCUUUCAGGAAUAGCGAUCGAUAUUUACUAAAAAUAUGUAUGAUCACUUGAUUUAUCAAGUGAUGCAUCACUUGAUUUGUCAAGUGAUCGAUCAAAGCUUCGCUUUGUUGCAUCAUAACUUCAUUAUGAUCAAUUGUUAUGUAACAACAUUGCAUUAUCCUUUUAAGUUGAUCGAUCCCUUUUCUGGAGGGAUGCAUCAUAGCAGAGCCAUGAUCGAUCGUUGUUACACAACGAUGCAUCAAAAAUAAUGCUUCAUUCAUGAUGUAUGGCUUUCCCAUAAUACAUCAUCUUUGACACCUCUGAAAUCAAGUUAUUUAACCACAACAAAGCUUUUAAACGCUUUUAAUUAACGUAUCCAAGCAAAAGCGUUUGGCAAAAACGGAAAUCAAAAAUACAUCGUAAAUGAUGCAUGCAUCAUGGAUGAUGCAUCAAAGAUGAUGCAUGGUUAAAUAACACAAGAUUAAAAGAUUAAAAUUUUUUGGAAAAAUAUAGAUAUAAGCUUGAGUUUCUUAGAAGAGAAUAGAAUUUCUACAGGAGAGGUUAAAUUCAGUGAUAGUAGAAGGAAUUCCAAAAGCGAAGGCAGUUCUCUAAAAGUAUACUGACACUGAGAUGCGAAAGCGUGGGGAGCAAAGGAGAUUAGAUACCUCCGUAGUCCACGCCGUCAACUAUGAAGAUUCAUUAUUAGACCUUUCUUCUUUUAUUGUGUGUAAAAAACACAAAAAGGUUAUAAAAACGGUUUAGUGAUAUAGCUAACGCGUUAAAUCUUCCGCCUGAGGAGUACGACCGCAAGGUUAAAACUCAAAGAAAUAGACGGGGGCCCAUACAAGUGGUGGAACAUGCGGUCUAACUCGAAACAACGCGCAAAACCUUACCAGCCCUUGUAUCAGUUUGAAAAAAUUUUUUAAAGAAUUUUUAUACAAUUGACAGGUGUUGCAUGGCUGUCGUCAGCUCGUGUCGCGAGACGUUCGGUUAAGUCCUUUAACGGGCGAAACCCUCUUGAUUUGUUGCUCAUCAUAAUAAGUUCUUGAAAUAAUGUUUCUAAAUCGCCGCACAUUCUAAGUAAGAAAGCCUUUUUAAGUUGAAACCUCUUAAGCUUCACGCUUAAUGGUCACUCAACGACUGUUGAAGUUUUUAACUUUAGGUUUAUAACAUAUUUAGAUUGUUUGUUAUUUUUACUUUCGGUGAAAGCGUUGAUUUAGAGAAUAACAUUCUGGUUAAAUAAACACCAGUUAUAUAUCUUGUGUAAAUCUUUUUAGCAAAAAAAAACAAUUUAAAAAAAGUGAAACACAACUUAUGUAAAGACAAUAAUGUUAUUGAUUUAUUAUUUAUGCAUCAGCCUUUUAGGCUGAUCGAUCUCUCCCAUGGAGGGAUGCAUCAUGGCGGAGCCAUGAUCGAUCGUUGUUACACAACGAUGCAUCAUUUUUAGGAAAAAAAAUGAUCGAUCAAAGCUUCGCUUUGUUGCAUCAUGGCGUAGCCAUGAUCGAUCACUCCCAUGGAGUGAUGUAUCAUCCCAGGAUGUAAGGUAAAACCUAUAACCUUUUGUUAUAAGUGAAACGCCAUUAAAUUUAUAGAAAUUAUGAUGCACUCAAAUCAUACUGUUAUUGAUAAAGUAAAGUAAGGAGAGGAUCACGUCAAGUCGUCAUGACCCUUAUGGGCUGGGCUACACGUGUGUUACAAUGGCAAUUACAAAGGGAGGCAAUAACGAAAGUUGGAGCGAAUC